RNAcentral lists this ribosomal RNA (200 nucleotides) under uncultured bacterium. RNAcentral describes it as "partial 16S ribosomal RNA". It matches the Rfam family "Bacterial small subunit ribosomal RNA", at positions 30 to 230 of the family's 1533-position model. The record is from RNAcentral.
AUUGAACGCUGGCGGCAUGCUUUACACAUGCAAGUCGAACGGUAACAGGGAGCUUGCUCCGCUGACGAGUGGCGAACGGGUGAGUAAUAUAUCGGAACGUACCCAAGAGUGGGGGAUAACGUAGCGAAAGUUACGCUAAUACCGCAUACGAUCUACGGAUGAAAGCAGGGGACCUUCGGGCCUUGUGCUCCUGGAGCGGC